AGGACAGGCUCCAAAGCUACAGAGAAACCUUGUCCUCUAAUUGUCACUAGACCUCCCUAGAAUAAAUUGCCUUUCGAUGACCAGGACGAAUUGAGUGAAAUCGUCAUGGACAGAUACGGGGUAGACAGUA
Molecule: non-coding RNA, 130 nt
Organism: Myodes glareolus (Bank vole)
Lineage: Eukaryota; Metazoa; Chordata; Mammalia; Rodentia; Cricetidae
Source: RefSeq, a predicted model, not a curated record